Molecule: ribosomal RNA, 586 nt
Filed under: uncultured bacterium
Lineage: Bacteria
Description: partial 16S ribosomal RNA
Rfam family: Bacterial small subunit ribosomal RNA
Source: RNAcentral
UGGGGAAUUUUGGACAAUGGGCGAAAGCCUGAUCCAGCAAUGCCGCGUGUGUGAAGAAGGCCUUCGGGUUGUAAAGCACUUUUGUCCGGAAAGAAAUCCUUGGCUCUAAUACAGUCGGGGGAUGACGGUACCGGAAGAAUAAGCACCGGCUAACUACGUGCCAGCAGCCGCGGUAAUACGUAGGGUGCAAGCGUUAAUCGGAAUUACUGGGCGUAAAGCGUGCGCAGGCGGUUUGCUAAGACCGAUGUGAAAUCCCCGGGCUCAACCUGGGAACUGCAUUGGUGACUGGCAGGCUAGAGUAUGGCAGAGGGGGGUAGAAUUCCACGUGUAGCAGUGAAAUGCGUAGAGAUGUGGAGGAAUACCGAUGGCGAAGGCAGCCCCCUGGGCCAAUACUGACGCUCAUGCACGAAAAGCGUGGGGGAGCAAACAGGAUUAGAUACCCUGGUAGUCCACGCCCUAAACGAUGUCAACUAGUUGUUGGGGAUUCAUUCCUUAGUAACGUAGCUAACGCGUGAAGUUGACCGCCUGGGGAGUACGGUCGCAAGAUUAAAACUCAAAUGAAUUGACGGGGUCAUAGCUGUUUCCU